GUUCAUGGAGACAGAUUAAAAGGGAACCGGGUGGAAAUCCCGGACAGUCCACGCUGCUGUAAAACUUCAGUAACAUCCCGAUAACACCUUUUGCCACUGGCGGAGAGACAGCCUCGCCGGGAAGGCUUUCGGGAUGGAAGUAAGUCAGAAGACCUGCCAUUUUUC
Molecule: non-coding RNA, 165 nt
Filed under: Parabacteroides goldsteinii
Lineage: Bacteria; Pseudomonadati; Bacteroidota; Bacteroidia; Bacteroidales; Tannerellaceae
Source: RNAcentral